This 253-nucleotide ribosomal RNA is filed under the name uncultured bacterium. RNAcentral's name for it is "partial 16S ribosomal RNA". It matches the Rfam family "Bacterial small subunit ribosomal RNA", at positions 524 to 776 of the family's 1533-position model. The record is from RNAcentral.
UACGAAGGGGGCUAGCGUUGCUCGGAAUCACUGGGCGUAAAGCGCACGUAGGCGGCUUUUUAAGUCAGAGGUGAAAUCCUGGAGCUCAACUCCAGAACUGCCUUUGAUACUGGAGAGCUUGAGUCCGGGAGAGGUGAGUGGAACUGCGAGUGUAGAGGUGAAAUUCGUAGAUAUUCGCAAGAACACCAGUGGCGAAGGCGGCUCACUGGACCGCAACUGACGCUGAGGCGCGAAAGCUAGGGGAGCAAACAGG